CGUACCGUAAACCGACACAGGUGGGCAGUUAGAGAAUACUAAGGCGCUUGGGAUAACUCCAGUUAAGGAACUUCGGCAAAAUAAUACCGUAACUUCGGGAGAAGGUAUGCCUUCCAUGGUGAUCUAGUAAUAGUGANCUGAGGGAGGUCGCAGAGAAAUAGGGGUAGCGACUGUUUACUAAAAACACAGGGCUAUGCAAACUCGUUAAGAGGAAGUAUAUGGCCUGACGCCUGCCCGGUGCCGGAAGGUUAAGGGGAGAGGUCAUUGGGAUUCGUCCUGAGAAGCUUUAAACUGAAGCCCCGGUAAACGGCGCCGUAACUAUAACGGUCCUAAGGUAGCGAAUUCCUGUCGGGUAAGUUCCGACUGCACGAAUGGGUACGAUUUCCCCACUGUCUCACAGGAGUCCAGUGAAAUUGUAAUACGGUGAAGAUCCGUUUACCCGCAGUAGCGGAAGACCGGCACCUUACUAUAGCUGACAUUGAGUUUAGGGCUAUUAUGUGUAGGAUAGGUGGGAGACGAUGAAUCCGGGACGCCAGUUUCGGUGGAGCCAACCUUGAAAUACCACCCUUAAUAUCUUUGAAUUCUAAUCCGAGCCAGUUGACCCUGGCUGGAGACAGUGUCUGGUGGGUAGUUUGACUGGGGCGGUCGCCUCCAAAAAAGUAACGGAGGCGCGCGAAGGUUCUCUCAGGCUGAUUGGAAACCAGCCGUAGAGUGUAAAGGCACAAGGGAGCUUGACUGCGAGAGAGACAUCUCGAGCAGGUACGAAAGUAGGUCUUAGUGAUCUGGCGGUAGCGAGUGGAAGCGCCGUCACUUAACGGAUAAAAGGUACUCCGGGGAUAACAGGCUGAUCUUCCCCAAGAGUUCACAUCGACGGGAAGGUUUGGCACCUCGAUGUCGGCUCAUCGCAUCCUGGGGCUGAAGCAGGUCCCAAGGGUUUGGCUGUUCGCCAAUUAAAGCGGUACGUGAGCUGGGUUCAGAACGUCGCGAGACAGUUCGGUCCCUAUCUGCCAUGGGCGUUGGAAAGUUGAGAGGAUCUGUUUUUAGUACGAGAGGACCGAAAUGGACGAACCUCUGGUGUAUCUGUUGUCCUGCCAAGGGCAAGUGCAGAGUAGCUAAGUUCGGAAGGGAUAACCGCUGAAGGCAUCUAAGUGGGAAGCCCACCUCAAGAUAAACUUUCCCUGGGGUUUUAAACCCCCUAAAGGCACCAGCGAGACUAGCUGGUUGAUAGGUUGGAGGUCUAAGUAUAGUAAUGUAUUCAGCCGACCAAUACUAAUAUGCCGUGAGGCUUGACCAU
RNAcentral lists this ribosomal RNA (1294 nucleotides) under termite gut metagenome. RNAcentral's name for it is "bacterial LSU rRNA". It matches the Rfam family "Bacterial large subunit ribosomal RNA", at positions 1643 to 2925 of the family's 2925-position model. The record is from RNAcentral.